This 372-nucleotide ribosomal RNA is filed under the name Geobacillus stearothermophilus. RNAcentral's name for it is "partial 23S ribosomal RNA". It matches the Rfam family "Bacterial large subunit ribosomal RNA", at positions 1 to 363 of the family's 2925-position model. The record is from RNAcentral. Lineage: Bacteria; Bacillati; Bacillota; Bacilli; Caryophanales; Anoxybacillaceae.
AGGUUAAGCUAGAAAGGGCGCACGGUGGAUGCCUUGGCACUAGGAGCCGAUGAAGGACGGGGCAAACGCCGAAACGCUCCGGGGAGCUGUAAGCAAGCGUUGAUCCGGAGAUGUCCGAAUGGGGGAACCCACUGUCCGUAAUGGGGCAGUAUCCAUGUCUGAAUCCAUAGGGCAUGGAGGGCACACCCGGGGAACUGAAACAUCUUAGUACCCGGAGGAGAAGAAAGCAAACGCGAUUCCCUGAGUAGCGGCGAGCGAAACGGGAACAGCCCAAACCAAGAGGCGUGCCUCUUGGGGUUGUAGGACCGCUCAUUGUGGGAGUGAGAAAGGAACGGGGUAGACGAACCGGUCUGGAACGGCCGGCCAGAGAAG